RNAcentral lists this ribosomal RNA (478 nucleotides) under uncultured bacterium. RNAcentral's name for it is "partial 16S ribosomal RNA". It matches the Rfam family "Bacterial small subunit ribosomal RNA", at positions 28 to 523 of the family's 1533-position model. The record is from RNAcentral.
GACGAACGCUGGCGGCGUGCUUAACACAUGCAAGUCGAACGGUAAGGCCCUUCGGGGUACACGAGUGGCGAACGGGUGAGUAACACGUGGGUGAUCUGCCCUGCACUUCGGGAUAAGCCUGGGAAACUGGGUCUAAUACCGGAUAGGACCACUGCCUGCAUGGGUGGUGGUGGCAAGCUUUUGCGGUGUGGGAUGGGCCCGCGGCCUAUCAGCUUGUUGGUGGGGUGAUGGCCUACCAAGGCGACGACGGGUAGCCGGCCUGAGAGGGUGACCGGCCACACUGGGACUGAGAUACGGCCCAGACGCCUACGGGAGGCAGCAGUGGGGAAGAUUGCACAAUGGGCGCAAGCCUGAUGCAGCGACGCCGCGUGAGGGAUGACGGCCUUCGGGUUGUAAACCUCCUUCAGCACCGACGAAGCGCAAGUGACGGUAGGUGCAGAAGAAGGACCGGCCAACUACGUGCCAGCCGCCGCGGUAA